RNAcentral lists this ribosomal RNA (433 nucleotides) under uncultured bacterium. RNAcentral describes it as "partial 16S ribosomal RNA". It matches the Rfam family "Bacterial small subunit ribosomal RNA", at positions 29 to 507 of the family's 1533-position model. The record is from RNAcentral.
AGCGAACGCUGGCGGCAUGCCUAACACAUGCAAGUCGAACGAACUCUUCGGAUUUAGUGGCGGACGGGUGCGUAACACGUGGGAACGUGCCCUUUGGUUCGGAAUAACUCAGGGAAACUUGUGCUAAUACCGAAUGUGCCCUUCGGGGGAAAGAUUUAUCGCCAAUAGAGCGGCCCGCGUCUGAUUAGCUAGUUGGUGAGGUAACGGCUCACCAAGGCGACGAUCAGUAGCUGGUCUGAGAGGAUGACCAGCCACACUGGGACUGAGACACGGCCCAGACUCCUACGGGAGGCAGCAGUGGGGAAUCUUGCGCAAUGGGCGAAAGCCUGACGCAGCCAUGCCGCGUGAAUGAUGAAGGUCUUAGGAUUGUAAAGUUCUUUUACCGGGGACGAUAAUGACAGUACCGGGAGAAGAAGCCCCGGCUAACUUCGUG